Molecule: long non-coding RNA, 1168 nt
Organism: Triticum dicoccoides
Lineage: Eukaryota; Viridiplantae; Streptophyta; Magnoliopsida; Poales; Poaceae
Exons: 2
Source: RefSeq, a predicted model, not a curated record
AUCCUCCCAAGCCCCUCGCCCCAAUCCAGUAUUCCCCGUCUCCCUCCGGGUCUCCCAAGAAAAAUCGUCGCCGCCCAUCUGCCCCAUGGCCGCGGACAAAGCUUCUCCACUCCCCUACAAGCUGCUAGCUCCACUCUGCCAACGCCAUCGGCGCUGCUUCAAUGGGCUUGUACUCUGACUCAGAUCACGAGUUUGAUGAGGGCCUCAACCUGGUCCGCCAUUCCUGUAUCAUCACGGGUGACGCUGUUGUGCACAGCUCUCCUCCUACCUUGAUGCCGCUGGGAUCCACAACCCACCGGAAAGGAGUAGCAGCGCCCUCACAGGUUGGACCACUCCCGAUCCGUCGCCGCCUGCACAGCCAGGACGGGCCGACCACCGAGGGCAUCUUCCUCCACCACUUGCGAUGAGUGGCCGAGCCAUGGAGCGGAGGCGGCAGGGAGUAUUGAUUAUAUUGGAAGGCCAAGGUGCGCAUCGUGCCUUGGGCUCUCUGCAUCUCCACGGUCUCCCUUCCCCAUUAGUUUGCUACCCUUGAUUAUAUUGCUUUGGUUGGAAUUGGAUCCUCAUGUAGUUUCAUGCUGAUUUGAGCUACGCACUAAGGAUUAUUUCUGCACGAUGAUGUAUUUGGGAGAGAUUUUGAGUGGCUGCUACUAUUGGAUGCAAUUGUUGGAAUUGUCAGAGAUGGUGCAGAUAUUGAAGGAGUCUCAACAUUGAUGGUUACUUCCUGCCGAGAUUUGUGAAAUACUUAAGAACUACAAGAAUUUUCAUACAGCUCCAGUUUAGGCAAAUGGAUGGAGUACUUUGCUUUUGCAUCAUAUGUUUUUAAUGGCUUGGAGUUCAUCCUCCGCCACACUAACGACGACCCAAUGCCAUGGUGGUGGAGACCACAACAGAUGUCAAGGCGGAGGAGAGGUGUUUACAUUUUUUUCCUGGCAGUGAGUGUUUACACAAUCUAGACAUAUCUAUGAUGCUGGCUCCAGCCAGAUUUGGGGACUAUUAACCAAAAUAUUGAUUGCAACAAAUUAGUCUGGAUAAUAAAUUAUGUAUUUAGCUUCUCUAUAAGCGGCACCAGUGAGAAUGUGCAUGCUUAGACAAUUCAAUUUUAGUGAAUGCAUGCAAACUGAAUUAUGUAUUAGUUUGAGCACGUCAUUGAAAAGACGGUUCUUCUCUA